UACGGAGGGUGCAAGCGUUAUCCGGAUUCACUGGGUUUAAAGGGUGCGUAGGCGGGCUUGUAAGUCCGUGGUGAAAUCUCUGAGCUUAACUCGGAAACUGCCAUGGAUACUAUGGGUCUUGAAUACUCGGGAGGUGAGCGGAAUAUGUCAUGUAGCGGUGAAAUGCUUAGAUAUGACAUAGAACACCAAUUGCGAAGGCAGCUUGCUACAGAGUUAUUGACGCUGAGGCACGAAAGCGUGGGGAUCAAACAGG
This 253-nucleotide ribosomal RNA is filed under the name uncultured bacterium. RNAcentral's name for it is "partial 16S ribosomal RNA". It matches the Rfam family "Bacterial small subunit ribosomal RNA", at positions 524 to 776 of the family's 1533-position model. The record is from RNAcentral. RNAcentral also lists the same sequence under 1 other name.